This is a small nuclear RNA of Dromiciops gliroides (monito del monte), 107 nucleotides long. The record is from RefSeq and is a predicted model, not a curated record. NCBI's taxonomy places the organism in Eukaryota, Metazoa, Chordata, Mammalia, Microbiotheria, Microbiotheriidae.
GUGCCCGCUUUGGCAGCAUACAUGCUAAAAUUGGAACGCUACAGAGAAGAUUAGCAAGGCCCCUGCAUGAGGCUGACAUGCAAAUUCGUGAAGUGUUCCAUAUUUUU